RNAcentral lists this ribosomal RNA (429 nucleotides) under Actinomycetes bacterium. RNAcentral describes it as "Actinobacteria bacterium partial 16S ribosomal RNA". It matches the Rfam family "Bacterial small subunit ribosomal RNA", at positions 355 to 776 of the family's 1533-position model. The record is from RNAcentral. Lineage: Bacteria; Bacillati; Actinomycetota; Actinomycetes.
UAGGGAAUCUUCCGCAAUGGGCGAAAGCCUGACGGAGCAACGCCGCGUGAGUGAUGAAGGUCUUCAGAUCGUAAAACUCUGUUAUUAGGGAAGAACAAAUGUGUAAGUAACUAUGCACGUCUUGACGGUCCCUAAUCAGAAAGCCACGGCUAACUACGUGCCAGCAGCCGCGGUAAUACGUAGGUGGCAAGCGUUAUCCGGAAUUAUUGGGCGUAAAGCGCGCGUAGGCGGUUUUUUAAGUCUGAUGUGAAAGCCCACGGCUCAACCGUGGAGGGUCAUUGGAAACUGGAAAACUUGAGUGCAGAAGAGGAAAGUGGAAUUCCAUGUGUAGCGGUGAAAUGCGCAGAGAUAUGGAGGAACACCAGUGGCGAAGGCGACUUUCUGGUCUGUAACUGACGCUGAUGUGCGAAAGCGUGGGGAUCAAACAGG